UGUAUAUGAUGACAACUGGCUCCCUCUA
RNAcentral lists this non-coding RNA (28 nucleotides) under Cricetulus griseus (Chinese hamster). The record is from RNAcentral. Lineage: Eukaryota; Metazoa; Chordata; Mammalia; Rodentia; Cricetidae.